Oxyura jamaicensis (ruddy duck) is the source of this 2079-nucleotide long non-coding RNA. RefSeq lists it as uncharacterized. The record is from RefSeq and is a predicted model, not a curated record. Lineage: Eukaryota; Metazoa; Chordata; Aves; Anseriformes; Anatidae. The transcript has 4 exons.
AUAACUGGCCUCAAUGUGAAACUGGAAUGUUUUUCUUCUGAGGUAUAUUUGAUACUUCAAUGUUGCUUUUGUCAAUAAAAUAAUACUAGGCAAAUAAUCCUACUGUAGCUAUGCUGACACUCUAUGAGUGGGUAUUGACAUGUCUUUGACUUGACUCAUUUUCUCCAAAUCCCAUACUGAAUACACGAGGGUCUUUCAUGUCUCUCCUUCACGAGGCAAAUACAAGCCGCGUUGUCUCUGCAAGACAGCUGAGCAUCUGCAGUGAAGACACAGGUCUUUUAUGUUUGUCAUUUCUCUUUGGAGCUGAAAGAAAGUGGUUUCACUCUGUGGUCUGGCCUGCAGUGUCCCCAGUGGCAUGCUUCCCGUGUCUUUCUUCCACCAGACUCUUCUCCAGAUACAGGGUGAAGAACUACUGAAAGUACGAGUGUCAUUUGCUUCUACAUCAUAUAUAGUGGCAGCCGUGACAGUGUUAUAUUCUGCAGCAGUUAUAUGGAGAAUAUUAUUUCCCAUGUCAGGUUGGAAGUCUUCUGUUUCAGGAUGUGUAGAUAAUGUCACCUUACUGUGAGAGAUCACAAUUCCAGAAGCACCCAGUGCAGCAGAUUCUCCAAUGGUAUUUACCAGGUCAUCCUGAGAGUGAAUGUGGAAAGAAUCCUACUGAUUUCUCUUUCUAGAGUCAGCUAUUAGCCCAGCCCUAACAAAACGUUAAAACCCAUGUGGGAUAGGAGAGAACUAUGGAUAGAAAAAGAACAAGGAAAAAACUUUCUGUGGAGAACAACAUGAAAAGGAGGGGUGUGAGGGUCUCAGUGAGUACCAAGAAACCCAGCAGCGACCCUAACAGCACACCCUGUUCCUCAAAGAUAUGCACAGAGCUGGGGGCAAUGCUCAGUGAUGCUCAGACUAGGAUGUUAGAGGACACAACGUAGUCACCAGGACCACAACCUCUGAUUUCCCCUUCCUUGUAGCCUGGAUGACCAGGAGGAAGUUUUCCGAAGUGGUGGUAUCUAUAAUAGCAUAGAUAUUUAAAAAUAUGUUAAAGAAAAGAUGUAGCCAGGAGUGUAAUAAGAUGGUUAGACCUUAAACAGAGGCUAACCUUGACAAGGCUGUGAGAUGCUGAUAUGCCAUUUAGGAGGCUACCCCAGUACACCUAAAGACAGAAUUUCCUCACCAGCUUUAAAACCCGUUUACCAAAGAAUCAGUAAACCUAAUAUCCUUGCUUUGAUUUUUAAAAAUUGAAUUUUGCAUCAGUACUUCAAGUCCUAGACAGACAAGGAAAUUCUUUGACUUUGGAGAACUAAUUAAAUUAUCAUCACAAAAAUCUGAUGAAUUGGGGUGGAAGAAAGGUAAUUUACUGUUUAAGAACUCCUGCAAUAGAAGUUGUCUUAAUAUGCAUGUCAUAAUUUCAAAAGAAGAAAAAGGCUAACAUUCUGGACAUGGAAGUGAUUGCUGAGUGACCUCUCAUUCUCCAAAUGUAGGCUGAGGAGUGGGAGAGGUAUGAAAGUAUGAGAAGAUCUUACACUAAUCAUCUUUAAUGAUCUUCUAUAGUCCUCUUAAAAAAGAGAUAUAUCUCCUACUUAUCAAAGUGAAAAACAAGGAGAAAGGAACACUUAUAUAACAAAAAAAUAAAAAUAUAUUUUUAAAAAUCGCUUUUAUUGUUUUUCCUUAUAAAUUUUAAAAGCAAACAUUAGGCCAGCCCAGUUUUACUAAUUCUCUUGGAAAGGUUAUUCUUUCCUCUGAGUUAACAUACUAAGUUACGCUUUUUAGCUUUCUAACAUUUUGCUACAUGUGAGGACUGUUCAGAGUGCAAAAUAUUAUUUAGUAAAUAUUUAGUAAGUUCAUUAGGAAUGCUUGAAAAUAAACCUCUUACUGUUCAGUCUGCACAUAUUUAGAUGAUAGUUUAAUUUAUUUUUAUACAAAAUCUACAUACUUUUUUUCUGAAACAAAUUAGUAUCUUUGCUAAGUAAGUGUCACCUAGUAAUUUCUUUCCACUUCAGUUUGAAAUAUUUAAAGUGUAGCUCCACUCACCUGAGAAAGAUAUUCCUCAUAGACAUCUGUGAAUACUGGUCGUGUAUAUACAAAAAC